This is a non-coding RNA of Oryza brachyantha (malo sina), 207 nucleotides long. The record is from Rfam. Lineage: Eukaryota; Viridiplantae; Streptophyta; Magnoliopsida; Poales; Poaceae.
AAAUAAUUCAUUUUUCAGUUUUUGGAUACAAUGUUUGACUCUUCAUCUUAUUUGAAUUUUUUUUGCGAUUAAUAUUUUUAUUUUUACUAGAUGAUAAAACAUGAAUAGUACUUUACACGUGACUAACUUUUUUAAGUUCUUAUACAAAUUUUUCAAAUAAGACGAAUGGUCAAACGUUGUACACAGAAAUCAAAAAAUGAAGUUUUU